UGGUUGACCCAGAGCUGGAUUGGUAAUCAGAAGUUCCCCACCCUUCCGCUCUCCGUGGAAUGUACCUUCCGCCCACCAGUUCCACGGCGGGGUCGCUUUUCGAGGGCACAGCCUUGAGGGCACAACGUGUUGUUUAGACCGUCUAGAUGGUAUACGUGGCUGAACCCCGUUAAGGCAUCUAUAAACGGUCUGGUCUUACGGCUGCUGAAGACAAGCCUCGGAAUCUCAAACUGUAUUUUGAGUAAAGCCAAGAAGCCACGGGAGUGAAAGAAUAACGUGUGAGCUCCAAAUGCAUUUCUAAGAUGUCAAGCUUGUUGACUGGAAGCCUGCCUGCCAGAACAAGAUCCUUCUGCGAACACCAGAAACAAUCUGCUAUUGUCUCCUGGGAUGAAACGGUGCCAAUAAAGAAUGAAAACUCUGAGCCAAGAGGAGGAAUACCGCAUUAACUGCUUCACCACUAAAAGUAAUUAUGGGAAGGGAGAGACGGGGUAAAACCCUCUCCUUUGUUUUUAGCUUGCAAGGACACACAGAGCACAGAUGUGACCAGAGCAAAGCCUGCCAUGUGUCUUGGCCCAGUGGAGAGAAUGGUUCACUCCUGUGUGUGCACUGAUCAGGGUCAGAGCCCCUGCCUGCCUUCUGAGCACACUUGAUGCUGCCGGUGGAGAAAGCCGGGCACCCCCUUAGUUUCCUUUCCGCUUGGUUGUCUUGG
Leopardus geoffroyi (Geoffroy's cat) is the source of this 709-nucleotide long non-coding RNA. RefSeq lists it as uncharacterized. The transcript is spliced from 3 exons. NCBI's taxonomy places the organism in Eukaryota, Metazoa, Chordata, Mammalia, Carnivora, Felidae. The record is from RefSeq and is a predicted model, not a curated record.